GACGAACGCUGGCGGCGUGCCUAAUACAUGCAAGUCGAGCGAAGUUUUUCUGGUGCUGGCACUAGCACAACUGAGCAGCGAACGGGUAAGUAACACGUAAAGAACCUUCCACAUAGAGUGAAACACCGAUUGGAAACGAUAGCUACGAACGGAUGACAGUAUUGCUUGCUGGAGGGAGAUAUAAAAGUUCGUUAGGCUAACACUAUGAGAUGGCUUUGCGGUGCAUUAGCUAGUUGGUGGGGUAAGGCCUCACCGAGGCGACGAUGCAAAGCCGAACUGAGAGGGUGAUCGGCCACACUGGGACUGAGACACGGCCCAUACUCCUGCGGUAGGCACCAGUAUGCAAUCUGCCGCAGCGGUCGAAAGUCUUACAGAGUAACGCGGAGUGUGUGAAGAAGGAUUCCGGUGCGGAAUGACGUGUUUUGAGUUAAGAAUGGAUUUGGCGUAACUAGAAGUGUAAGAGACGGUACUUGGUCAGAAAGCCACGGCUAACUACGUG
This 499-nucleotide ribosomal RNA is filed under the name uncultured bacterium. RNAcentral's name for it is "partial 16S ribosomal RNA". It matches the Rfam family "Bacterial small subunit ribosomal RNA", at positions 28 to 507 of the family's 1533-position model. The record is from RNAcentral.